Molecule: ribosomal RNA, 253 nt
Filed under: uncultured bacterium
Lineage: Bacteria
Description: partial 16S ribosomal RNA
Rfam family: Bacterial small subunit ribosomal RNA
Source: RNAcentral
UACGUAGGGUGCGAGCGUUAAUCGGAAUUACUGGGCGUAAAGUGUGCGCAGGCGGCCGAGUAAGUCGAGUGUGAAAGCCCCGAGCUUAACUUGGGAACUGCGCUCGAAACUACUUGGCUAGAGUGUGGCAGAGGGAGGUGGAAUUCCACGUGUAGCGGUGAAAUGCGUAGAGAUGUGGAGGAACACCGAUGGCGAAGGCAGCCCCCUGGGUCAAGAUUGACGCUCGUGCACGAAAGCGUGGGGAGCAAACAGG